GCCGCGGUGGUGAAAUUGGCAAACACGCUAGGCUUAGGACCUAGUCUCCAAUUAUAUGGAGUUGAGAGUUCGAAUCUCUCCCGCGGCACCA
Molecule: transfer RNA, 91 nt
Filed under: bacterium
Lineage: Bacteria
Also listed under: 5 other names
Description: tRNA-Leu
Rfam family: tRNA
About the family: Transfer RNA (tRNA) molecules are approximately 80 nucleotides in length. Their secondary structure includes four short double-helical elements and three loops (D, anti-codon, and T loops).
Source: RNAcentral